AUUGAACGCUGGCGGCAGGCCUAACACAUGCAAGUCGAACGGUAACAGGAAGCAGCUUGCUGCUUCGCUGACGAGUGGCGGACGGGUGAGUAAUGUCUGGGAAGCUGCCUGAUGAAGGGGAUAACUACUGGAAACGGUAGCUAAUACCGCAUAAUGUCGCAAGACCAAAGAGGGGGACCUUCGGGCCUCUUGCCAUCGGAUGUGCCCAGAUGGGAUUAGCUUGUUGGUGGGGUAACGGCUCACCAAGGCGACGAUCCCUAGCUGGUCUGAGAGGAUGACCAGCCACACUGGAACUGAGACACGGUCCAGACUCCUACGGGAGGCAGCAGUGGGGAAUAUUGCACAAUGGGCGCAAGCCUGAUGCAGCCAUGCCGCGUGUAUGAAGAAGGCCUUCGGGUUGUAAAGUACUUUCAGCGGGGAGGAAGGGAGUAAAGUUAAUACCUUUGCUCAUUGACGUUACCCGCAGAAGAAGCACCGGCUAACUCCGUG
Molecule: ribosomal RNA, 489 nt
Filed under: uncultured bacterium
Lineage: Bacteria
Description: partial 16S ribosomal RNA
Rfam family: Bacterial small subunit ribosomal RNA
Source: RNAcentral